GUCCCUAUCGUCUAGAGGCCUAGGACAUCGCCCUUUCACGGCGGUAACCGGGGUUCGAAUCCCGUAGGGACGCCA
Molecule: transfer RNA, 75 nt
Filed under: Acinetobacter baumannii
Lineage: Bacteria; Pseudomonadati; Pseudomonadota; Gammaproteobacteria; Moraxellales; Moraxellaceae
Also listed under: 2 other names
Description: tRNA-Glu
Rfam family: tRNA
About the family: Transfer RNA (tRNA) molecules are approximately 80 nucleotides in length.
Source: RNAcentral